This 486-nucleotide ribosomal RNA is filed under the name uncultured bacterium. RNAcentral's name for it is "partial 16S ribosomal RNA". It matches the Rfam family "Bacterial small subunit ribosomal RNA", at positions 30 to 507 of the family's 1533-position model. The record is from RNAcentral.
AUUGAACGCUGGCGGCAUGCCUUACACAUGCAAGUCGAACGGCAGCACGGGUGCUUGCACCUGGUGGCGAGUGGCGAACGGGUGAGUAAUACAUCGGAACAUGUCCUGUAGUGGGGGAUAGCCCGGCGAAAGCCGGAUUAAUACCGCAUACGAUCCACGGAUGAAAGCGGGGGACCUUCGGGCCUCGCGCUAUAGGGUUGGCCGAUGGCUGAUUAGCUAGUUGGUGGGGUAAAGGCCUACCAAGGCGACGAUCAGUAGCUGGUCUGAGAGGACGACCAGCCACACUGGGACUGAGACACGGCCCAAACUCCUACGGGAGGCAGCAGUGGGGAAUUUUGGACAAUGGGCGAAAGCCUGAUCCAGCAAUGCCGCGUGUGUGAAGAAGGCCUUCGGGUUGUAAAGCACUUUUGUCCGGAAAGAAAUCCUUGACUCUAAUACAGUCGGGGGAUGACGGUACCGGAAGAAUAAGCACCGGCUAACUACGUG